AUGCAACUGACGAGUUCCAAAUAGGACAAAACGCGCGUUUGGGAU
RNAcentral lists this non-coding RNA (45 nucleotides) under Schistosoma haematobium. The record is from RNAcentral. Lineage: Eukaryota; Metazoa; Platyhelminthes; Trematoda; Strigeidida; Schistosomatidae.